This 644-nucleotide long non-coding RNA is filed under the name Zea mays. RNAcentral's name for it is "long non-coding RNA (ZMAY_LNC000522)". Lineage: Eukaryota; Viridiplantae; Streptophyta; Magnoliopsida; Poales; Poaceae. The record is from RNAcentral.
ACACGAGUUACCCCUUUUUUGGCUUGUAAAAUGACUAGCUAAUUUUAGUUAAAUCCAAUUGUAGGUCAUUUCUUUCUAGCAGAUGCGGGUUAUGCAGCACGACCUGGCAUAUUACCUCCAUUUAGGGGUGUUCGGUACCAUCUUAAGGAGUUUCAGGGUACUAGGCGGCCAGAGAAUUCAAAAGAAUUAUUCAACCUUCGACACUCUUCUCUUAGGACAACGAUAGAACGAGCAUUUGGUACACUCAAAAACAGAUUUAAGUUACUCACAAGCCAACCAUUCUUCCCUCUCAAAACUCAAGUGAAGAUAGUUUUGGCUUGUUGUGCUUUGCACAACUUCAUAAUAGAGGAUGGUACUGAUAUUUAUGUUUAUGAAGAUGAGGCAUGGUUUGGAAGUCUUCCAAGAAGCAGUCGUACCCAUGCUGAUAUGAACAAAGAUAAUAAACUUUGGGCCACUAUGCGUGAUCAGCUAGCGCAGCAAAUGUGGGACGAUUGGGAUGAAAAUUGAUCUUUUUAUGUGGCUGUAAUGAGAACCUAUUUUAUGGUUUUAUGUGGCUGUAAUGAGAACCUAUUUUAUGGUUUUAUGUGGCUGUAAUGAGAACCUAUUUUAUGGUAUUAUGUUGCUGUAAUGAGAACCUAUUUUAU